GAAUUCCACGUGGUAGCGGGGAAAUGCGUAGAGAUGUGGAGGAACACCAGUGGCGAAGGCGGGUUUUUGGUCUGUAACUGACGCUGAGGCGCGAAAGCGUGGGGGCAGACAGGUUAGAUACCCUGGUAGUCCACGCCGUAAACGAUGAGUGCUAAGUGUUAGAGGGUUCCGCCCUUUAGUGUGCAGCUAACGCAUUAGCCUCCGCCUGGGGAGUCGGUCGCAAGACUAAACUCAAAGGAAUUGACGGGGGCCCGCACAAGCGGGGAGCAUGUGGUUUAAUUCGAAGCAACGCGAAGAACCUUACCAGGUCUUGACAUCCUCUGACAACUCUAGAGAUAGAGCGUUCCCCUUCGGGGGACAGAGUGACAGGUGGUGCAUGGUUGUCGUCAGCUCGUGUCGUGAGAUGUUGGGUUAAGUCCCGCAACGAGCGCAACCCUUGAUCUUAGUUGCCAGCAUUUAGUUGGGCACUCUAAGGUGACUGCCGGUGACAAACCGGAGGAAGGUGGGGAUGACGUCAAAUCAUCAUGCCCCUUAUGACCUGGGCUACAC
RNAcentral lists this ribosomal RNA (549 nucleotides) under Bacillus sp. EMI_2_14. RNAcentral describes it as "bacterial SSU rRNA". It matches the Rfam family "Bacterial small subunit ribosomal RNA", at positions 664 to 1219 of the family's 1533-position model. Lineage: Bacteria; Bacillati; Bacillota; Bacilli; Caryophanales; Bacillaceae. The record is from RNAcentral.